This is a long non-coding RNA of Hypanus sabinus (Atlantic stingray), 1876 nucleotides long. RefSeq lists it as uncharacterized. The transcript has 3 exons. Lineage: Eukaryota; Metazoa; Chordata; Chondrichthyes; Myliobatiformes; Dasyatidae. The record is from RefSeq and is a predicted model, not a curated record.
CACACACACACACACACACACACACACACACAAUGAUUAGUACAGAGAGCUACUUAAGAGUUGGCAUGGAAAUGGUGGGUUGAAAGGACUGCUUCUGUCCUCUCCGACUCCAUUAGGACGCUAGAAUCGGUUACAUCCGGCUUAGCAAAAGAAACAGGGCUCAUUCUCCGAAAUGCUCUCUAGUGUGUGAGGGCAAGAGAGCGAGUGUGAGGGAGUGUAUGAGUGUGAGGGAGUGAGAGGGAGAGAGAGAGAAAAAGGAGAGGGAGAGGGAGUGGGAGAGGGAGAGGGAGUGGGAGUGGGAGAGUGAGAGUGAGAGAGAGAAAAAGGAGAGGGAGAGGGAGAGAGAGAGAAAAAGGAGAGGGAGAGGGAGAGGGAGAGGGAGUGGGAGUGGGAGAGGGAGAGGAGAAUGGGUACGAGUAUACAUGAGCUUUAGUUGGUCCUGUGAUGCCCUUCAUGGUCUAAGAAACUACCAGCCCUUCACGUCACAUGCUGGUGAUAAUAAACCUGAUUCUGACUCACUCCCAGGUCACAGACGAAGGACUGGAUGGCAGCUAGUGCAGUUGGAACCUCACCUCCCUGUGCUUUAGCACCUUCCGUUUAGAAAAAAAAAGGUCAUGUGCAGGAUGUCCAGCUUCUGAAACGCGUCACUUCUGACAGGAUCUCCCAGCGCAAGGAGGAGAGGAGGAGGAAGAUCACAGCGACACCAUUAUUUUCAAAUCUUCUCUCGCUCAAGAACAUGAGAAACAGGGGGCAGUUAGCAACUUGGAUCCACUACAGGCCUGCUGACUCCCUGCCACACACAGGUAACUGCUCCACACCCCCUUCAACCCUGAUUUCUCUAUACACCAUUCCAUUCUCCUAGUUCCUCAAUCUGUCAUAUCUGACCUGAUGACAACACUCCCAAGGUGCCUUACUCUUACUUUUAAUACAGUGUUUUCAACUCUCCAUAUUACACACUACCACUGCCAGUUUCUCUUCCUAGCAUCUCUUACCAGCCCUUUACCACCAUUCUGUAUAUCAUUUAUUCUCUGUAAUUUCCACCAUCUUCAACAUGAUGUCUCUACCAUGUUCACAUUCUCUUCUACUUUCAGCAGUGCGAAGGAAACACUCAUUCAGUGACACAAGGGUCCACGCUUCCAUCCCCACUGACACACUCAUUCAGAGACACAAGGGUCCACGCUUCCAUCCCCACUGACACACUCAUUCAGUGACACAAGGGUCCACGCUUCCAUCCCCACUGACACACUCAUUCAGUGACACAAGGGUCCACGCUUCCAUCCCUGCUGACAGCCACUCUCCUUCUCACAGUAGCUUCCAAUCAAACCGUAGAAGCAGCACCUCUUGACCUUUGACCUCUUCACACACACAAGUGAAGCACCCAUUCACUUUGACUUCUAGCUCAGUGCAUGAUAUGCCCACAGUUAUAUUCCAGAUACUAAACACAGGCUAGAACAUGACUGGCAAGAGCUUCUAUUCAGUCCAGAGGUGUUAACCCGGGUGGAAGAGCAGGCAGAGAAACUUUAACACCAGAUUUUGCUGUCUUGUCCAAGAAACUUCUGGAAACUGAAGCUGAGCCUGGGUGAAUUUGCUCAACAGUAAUUGCAGGAGACAGUGAGCAUUUGUUCAAACCACUCAUUGAAUUAUACCAUGAAAUAUAAAAAGAGCAGUACAAUAGCACUAUAUAAAUUCUGCACUGCUGCCAAUAUUGCUAGUUUUGCAUUUCAUUCCUGUGCUGUAAUCAUCGUUUGGAAGAAAUGGCAUAACUUGCAUUUGUUUCUUUACAUUUAUUUCCCACCUCUACAUUAGACAGAAGCAGAUGGGCUUUGCAUGAAAGCUGUAAGAUCUCUCUGCGGGGAGAGCUAGAAGAAAGAGCCAU